GUUUAAUACUUUACUGGUUCCUUGUUUCUUUGCCCCAGUGAAUCCUGCUAAAGUGCUUACAGGGGGAAGUUUAGAAAACCACACACACUUACCUUUGCUGCCCCAUGAUGCCUGCUGUGUUUGAAUGCACAAUCAGGCCAUCCGAGCACUUGCAUGAUUGGGCAUACUGCGAUAGUGCAGUGCCAACAUAAAUGGCACCAAAUGGUAAAUUUUGUUUAAAACCGAUCAGUCAUGUUUUUGGGACUUCACAUAUUUUGCAGACACCUGACGGCUACAUCGCUACAUAGUAUACAAUGGCCCAGGGUACAGCUGACAGGUACCCAUGCCUCACAAGCCUCCCGAUUUCGGAGGACAGUACCGACUCUGUUCUCACACUUUUGGGAAUACCAGGGAAUUGUCCCCCAAAAAACAUUGUGUUUUUUAGACACACUCGCACUACAUUCAGG
This is a non-coding RNA of Pelobates cultripes (western spadefoot toad), 446 nucleotides long. The record is from the annotation of a GenBank genome assembly. NCBI's taxonomy places the organism in Eukaryota, Metazoa, Chordata, Amphibia, Anura, Pelobatidae.